Molecule: unclassified non-coding RNA, 387 nt
Filed under: soil metagenome
Description: partial contains 5.8S ribosomal RNA, internal transcribed spacer 2, and large subunit ribosomal RNA
Rfam family: 5.8S ribosomal RNA (bases 1-120)
Source: RNAcentral
GAUGAAGAACGCAGCGAAAUGCGAUAAGUAAUGUGAAUUGCAGAAUUCAGUGAAUCAUAGAAUCUUUGAACGCACCUUGCGCUCCUUGGUAUUCCGAGGAGCAUGCCUGUUUGAGUGUCAUGAAAUUCUCAAACCCAUAAGUCUUUGCGGGCUUACGGGCUUUGGACUUGGAGGCUUGUCGGCGACCGUGAGGUCACAUCGACUCCUCUCAAAUGCAUUAGCUUGAUUCCUUGCGGAUCGGCUCUCGGUGUGAUAAUUGUCUACGCCGUGACCGUGAAGCGUUUUGGCAAGCUUCUAACCGUCUCUAACGAGACAGCUUACUUUGACCUCUGACCUCAAAUCAGGUAGGACUACCCGCUGAACUUAAGCAUAUCAAUAAGCGGAGGA